This 397-nucleotide ribosomal RNA is filed under the name uncultured bacterium. RNAcentral describes it as "partial 16S ribosomal RNA". It matches the Rfam family "Bacterial small subunit ribosomal RNA", at positions 523 to 918 of the family's 1533-position model. The record is from RNAcentral.
AUACGUAGGGGGCGAGCGUUGUCCGGAAUGAUUGGGCGUAAAGGGCGCGUAGGCGGCUUUGCAAGUCAGUAGUGGAAGUCCAUUUUUCAAGGAUGGAAGUGCUACAGAAACUGCGGAGCUUGAGUGCAGGAGAAGUUAUCGGAAUUCCCGGUGUAGCGGUGAAAUGCGUAGAGAUCGGGAGGAACACCAGUGGCGAAGGCGGGUAACUGGACUGCAACUGACGCUGAGGCGCGAAAGUGUGGGGAGCAAACAGGAUUAGAUACCCUGGUAGUCCACACUGUAAACGAUGAAUGCUAGGUGUAGGAGGUAUCGACCCCUUCUGUGCCGCAGUAAACACAGUAAGCAUUCCGCCUGGGGAGUACGGUCGCAAGAUUAAAACUCAAAUGAAUUGACGGGG